GAUGAACGCUGGCGGCGUGCUUAACACAUGCAAGUCGAACGGAAAGGCCCUGCUUUUGUGGGGUGCUUGAUUGGCGAACGGGUGAGUAACACGUGUGUAACCCGCCCUUGACUUUGGGAUAACUUCAGGAAACUGGGGCUCAUACCGGAUAGGAGCUUCUGCUGCACGGUGGGGGUUGGAAAGUUACGGCGGUUGGGGCUGGACUCGCGGCUUAUCGGCUUGUUGGUGGGGUAGUGGCUUACCAAGCCUUUGACGGGUAGCCGGCCUGAGAGGGUGACCGGCCACAUUGGGACUGAGAUACGGCCCAGACGGCUACGGGAGGCAGCAGGGGGGAAUAUUGCACAAUGGGCGGAAGCCUGAUGCAGAAGCGCCGCGUGCGGGAUGACGGCUUUCGGGUUGUGAACAUCUUUCGCCUGUGACGAAGCGUGAGUGACGGUAAUGAAUAAAGAAGCACCGGCUAACUACGUG
RNAcentral lists this ribosomal RNA (468 nucleotides) under uncultured bacterium. RNAcentral describes it as "partial 16S ribosomal RNA". It matches the Rfam family "Bacterial small subunit ribosomal RNA", at positions 28 to 507 of the family's 1533-position model. The record is from RNAcentral.